AGAGUUUGAUCAUGGCUCAGAACGAACGCUGGCGGCGUGCUUAACACAUGCAAGUCGAGUGCGCGGUUGUAGCAAUACAACUGGCGCACGGCGCACGGGUGCGUAACACGUGGGCAAUCUGCCCUCCGAUGGGGAAUAACUCCGGGAAACCGAAGCUAAUUCCGCAUAACAUUCCCUGGACUCCGGUUCGGGGAUUCAAAGCAGUAAUGCGUCGGAGGAGGAGCCCGCGCCCGAUUAGCUAGUUGGUGAGGUAACGGCUCACCAAGGCUAUGAUCGGUAGCUGGUCUGAGAGGAUGGCCAGCCACACUGGAACUGAGACACGGUCCAGACUCCUACGGGAGGCAGCAGUGGGGAAUCUUGCGCAAUGGGCGAAAGCCUGACGCAGCGACGCCGCGUGGGGGAUGAAGCUUCUCGGAGUGUAAACCCCUUUCGACCGGGACGAAUGCCCGCAAGGGAGUGACGGUACCGGUAGAAGAAGCCCCGGCUAACUACGUGCCUGCAGCCGCGGUAAGACGUAGGGGGCCAGCGUUGUUCGGAAUUACUGGGUGUAAAGGGUUCGUAGGCGGUGCGGCAAGUCGGGAGUGAAAUUUCUGGGCUUAACUCAGAACCUGCUUCCGAAACUGCUGUGCUCGAGUGUGGGAGAGGCGCGUGGAAUUGCAGGUGUAGCGGUGAAAUGCGUAGAUAUCUGCAGGAACACCCGUGGCGAAAGCGGCGCGCUGGACCACUACUGACGCUGAGGAACGAAAGCUAGGGGAGCAAACAGGAUUAGAUACCCCGGUAGUCC
This 784-nucleotide ribosomal RNA is filed under the name uncultured bacterium. Its description in RNAcentral is "bacterial SSU rRNA". It matches the Rfam family "Bacterial small subunit ribosomal RNA", at positions 8 to 796 of the family's 1533-position model. The record is from RNAcentral.